UACGUAGGGGGCAAGCGUUAUCCGGAUUUACUGGGUGUAAAGGGGGCGCAGACGGCAGCGCAAGCCAGGAGUGAAAGCCCGGGGCCCAACCCCGGGACUGCUCUUGGAACUGCGCGGCUGGAGUGCAGGAGGGGCAGGCGGAAUUCCUGGUGUAGCGGUGAAAUGCGUAGAUAUCAGGAGGAACACCGGUGGCGAAAGCGGCUCUCUGGUCUGUAACUGACGCUGAGGUUCGAAAGCGUGGGUAGCAAACAGG
Molecule: ribosomal RNA, 253 nt
Filed under: uncultured bacterium
Lineage: Bacteria
Description: partial 16S ribosomal RNA
Rfam family: Bacterial small subunit ribosomal RNA
Source: RNAcentral